GGGGAAAAAGACAUAAUCCUGUGUACAAAUUGCCUCCACGCAAAUAGAUAAGGUCGUGCCAAUUUCCUAAAUGCUUCAAACCUACCACAUAAUCAUAGCAACAAAGUUUGACCCAUGUCCCUCGGAAAUUCUGAUUGCCUUGCCAAAUUGUUUCUCACAAAAAUUUUUAUACACAGCUCCACUACCAAAAUUUUAACCUUACACAAUAAAAGUGUGCAAUUCCAAUGAUGAUAGAUAAAACAUAAGCAUAAACAAGCAAGAUGAAUAGGGCUGUCGACGAUGUGAUGAACAGGGUAUCCACAUAAAUGUUUACAAGCCCUGUAAGCACAUUUGCCAGAAGAAAUGUGCCCAGUAAAUUCCGGUCUAAUGCUUCUUCAAGCAUGGAAAUUUUACUUCCAGAAAUGAAAUCAGAAAGCAUUAGUAUGCCCAGAACCUGAAAGUUUUGAGCUAAGACCAGCGUAACAUAAGCCAUGUUGCACAUCCUACGGGAAACUCUUUCAACGUGACUAUUUAGAAUCGCAGUUAUCAGCCAAAAAACAAGAGAUAGAGAUGAGACUCUGAUCCUUGCCCACUUAUUGCUUUUCAUUUUAGUAGAGGAAUGGUUACCAAAAAAUAGGUAGUAGCCCAACUGGACACCAAUAAGGUACAUGCCCCAAUAUCCAAGUAUGCUAAAUAUCCCCUCUUUAUUUUUGCUUAUGAUAUUUGUUGCCCUUAUAUCAGAAAGCAGAUGCUCACUUAAUCCAUUAAUCAACCAAGACUGAUAACCAAUCAGAAUUGCCAAACCCAGAAAUCCUGAAUAUUGUGGAGGAACAUUAAUUAUGGAUGUAAGGAUUGACACAGCAGCUAGUGUGAAAAAGAAAUUCCAGUGUACUCCAUAUUCCCCUGUAUGAACCUGAUAGUCCACAGUUUUUGUAGAUAGAAGUCG
Molecule: unclassified non-coding RNA, 925 nt
Filed under: Hevea brasiliensis (rubber tree)
Lineage: Eukaryota; Viridiplantae; Streptophyta; Magnoliopsida; Malpighiales; Euphorbiaceae
Source: RNAcentral